UAUAGAUCAGUGGCUGAGCGAGCGCGCGGGGGUGCUUGGGGAAUCCCGUCGUGUGUUGACCUAGCACCCCCGCGCGCUCGCUCUCUUAGCCACUGAUCUAUAUA
This 104-nucleotide microRNA precursor is filed under the name Paramuricea clavata. Lineage: Eukaryota; Metazoa; Cnidaria; Anthozoa; Malacalcyonacea; Plexauridae. The record is from RNAcentral.